GACGAACGCUGGCGGCGUGCCUAAUACAUGCAAGUAGAACGCUGACUACAUUAGCUUGCUAGAGUAGAAGGAGUUGCGAACGGGUGAGUAACGCGUAGGUAACCUGCCUACUAGCGGGGGAUAACUAUUGGAAACGAUAGCUAAUACCGCAUAACAGUGUUUAACACAUGGUAGAUGCUUGAAAGAUGCAAUUGCAUCACUAGUAGAUGGACCUGCGUUGUAUUAGCUAGUUGGUGGGGUAACGGCCCACCAAGGCGUCGAUACAUAGCCGGCCUGAGAGGGUGAUCGGCCACACUGGGACUGAGACACGGCCCAGACUCCUACGGGAGGCAGCAGUAGGGAAUCUUCGGCAAUGGGGGCAACCCUGACCGAGCAACGCCGCGUGAGUGAAGAAGGUUUUCGGAUCGUAAAGCUCUGUUGUAAGAGAAGAACGUGUGUGAGAGUGGAAAGUUCACACAGUGACGGUAACUUACCAGAAAGGGACGGCUAACUACGUGCCAGCCGCCGCUGUAA
This 513-nucleotide ribosomal RNA is filed under the name uncultured bacterium. RNAcentral describes it as "partial 16S ribosomal RNA". It matches the Rfam family "Bacterial small subunit ribosomal RNA", at positions 28 to 523 of the family's 1533-position model. The record is from RNAcentral.